UACGUAGGAUGCAAGCGUUGUCCGGAAUUACUGGGCGUAAAGCGUGCGUAGACGGUUGCGUAAGUCAGAUGUGAAAGCCCCGGGCUCAACCUGGGAAUUGCAUAUGAGACUGCGUAGCUAGGGUGCGGAAGAGGGAAGCGGAAUUUCCGGUGUAGCGGUGAAAUGCGUAGAUAUCGGAAGGAACACCAGUGGCGAAAGCGGCUUCCUGGUCCAGCACCGACGUUCAGGCACGAAAGCGUGGGGAGCAAACAGG
This 253-nucleotide ribosomal RNA is filed under the name uncultured bacterium. RNAcentral's name for it is "partial 16S ribosomal RNA". It matches the Rfam family "Bacterial small subunit ribosomal RNA", at positions 524 to 776 of the family's 1533-position model. The record is from RNAcentral.